RNAcentral lists this ribosomal RNA (524 nucleotides) under uncultured bacterium. RNAcentral describes it as "bacterial SSU rRNA". It matches the Rfam family "Bacterial small subunit ribosomal RNA", at positions 986 to 1509 of the family's 1533-position model. The record is from RNAcentral.
AUCCAGCGAACUUGGCAGAGAUGGCCUUGGUGCCUUCGGGAACGCUGAGACAGGUGCUGCAUGGCUGUCGUCAGCUCGUGUUGUGAAAUGUUGGGUUAAGUCCCGNAACGAGCGCAACCCUUAUCCUUUGUUGCCAGCGAUUCGGUCGGGAACUCAAAGGAGACUGCCGGUGAUAAACCGGAGGAAGGUGGGGAUGACGUCAAGUCAUCAUGGCCCUUACGAGUAGGGCUACACACGUGCUACAAUGGCGCAUACAAAGAGAAGCGACCUCGCGAGAGCAAGCGGACCUCAUAAAGUGCGUCGUAGUCCGGAUCGGAGUCUGCAACUCGACUCCGUGAAGUCGGAAUCGCUAGUAAUCGUGGAUCAGAAUGCCACGGUGAAUACGUUCCCGGGCCUUGUACACACCGCCCGUCACACCAUGGGAGUGGGUUGCAAAAGAAGUAGGUAGCUUAACCUUCGGGAGGGCGCUUACCACUUUGUGAUUCAUGACUGGGGUGAAGUCGUAACAAGGUAAGCGUAGCGAG